Molecule: ribosomal RNA, 423 nt
Filed under: uncultured bacterium
Lineage: Bacteria
Description: bacterial SSU rRNA
Rfam family: Bacterial small subunit ribosomal RNA
Source: RNAcentral
GGAAUAUUGGACAAUGGGCGCAAGCCUGAUCCAGCCAUGCCGCGUGUGUGAAGAAGGCCUUCGGGUUGUAAAGCACUUUCAGCGGGGAGGAAGGGGGUUGUGUUAAUAGCACAGCAUUUUGACGUUACCCGCAGAAGAAGCACCGGCCAACUUCGUGCCAGCAGCCGCGGUAAUACGAAGGGUGCAAGCGUUAAUCGGAAUUACUGGGCGGAAAGCGCGCGUAGGUGGUUGGUUAAGUUGGAUGUGAAAGCCCCGGGCUCAACCUGGGAACUGCAUCCAAAACUGGCCGGCUAGAGUACGGUAGAGGGUGGUGGAAUUUCCUGUGUAGCGGUGAAAUGCGUAGAUAUAGGAAGGAACACCAGUGGCGAAGGCGACCACCUGGACUGAUACUGACACUGAGGUGCGAAAGCGUGGGGAGCAAAC